Molecule: ribosomal RNA, 412 nt
Filed under: uncultured bacterium
Lineage: Bacteria
Description: bacterial LSU rRNA
Rfam family: Bacterial large subunit ribosomal RNA
Source: RNAcentral
CGAACCGGUUACCGUUGCAAAGGUAUCGGAUGACCUGUGAUUAGGGGUGAAAGGCCAACCAAACUCGGAAAUAGCUGGUUCUCCGCGAAAACUAUUUAGGUAGUGCGUCGUAUGAUUACCGCCGGGGGUAGAGCACUGGAUGGGCUAGGGGGAUCCAAAGUCUUACCAAACCUAACCAAACUCCGAAUACCGGCGAGUACAGUACGGCAGACAGACGGCGGGUGCUAAGGUCCGUCGUCGAGAGGGAAACAGCCCAGACCACCAGCUAAGGUCCCUAAGUCAUGGCUAAGUGGGAAAGGAUGUGGGAAGGCCAAAACAGCCAGGAGGUUGGCUUAGAAGCAGCCAUCCUUUAAAGAAAGCGUAAUAGCUCACUGGUCUAGAUAAGCCAGCCUGCGCCGAAGAUGUACCGGGG